CUUCUUCAGGAGUACAUCUCUUCCCUGAACGUCUCCUCGGCGUGAUGCAGUUUCGACGUGCCCUGCUGGCCCUGGCGAUGGUGGUGUUGGUGAUGGCGGCCCAGGUCACCGGCAAGGCGUGCUGCGGGGGUCAUCACGGUGGUCAUCAUGGCGGAGGGAACCACGGCGGAGGCAACCACGGAGGUCACAAUGGCGGACACGGGGGAGGAGGAGGAUUCGGGGGCGGCGGCGGCUUCGGGGGAGGUAGUGGAGGAGGAUUCGGUGGCGGUUUUGGCGGUGGUGGAGGAUAUGGGAAAUGAAAUCCCAGCCACUGACUAUCUUUCGGAAAGCAACAUCCUUUAGACCCACAAUCCUAUCUCUGGAAUCCUUACCCUGUCCUUCCUUCCUCCUACUCCUCUCAACCUCUCACUCUCCCUCCCCCUCCUUCCCCGAGAGCUGAGGACGCCCAACACCUGUCCGGGAGUCCUAGAAAGGUAAGACACGCAGCAGAAUCCCACGGUCUCUUCACUAUAGGAUACUCUGAGGAUAUCCUGCCUGUCUGUUUGUCUGUGUGUCUGUUUUUGUUUUUCGGUGAUACUAAAGAAAAAAAAAUUGUAAUGUUUAUAAAAUGUUAAUUCUUGUAGCUUUUGUCCAGCAUUUUUCGGUGAGCAAAAUUUUGUAUCACUUCAUAAUAACUGUUAAUUGUUAGUUUUUUGUUAUCUGUUAUUUGUUAAUGAUUAAACAAUUGGUUAUA
Molecule: long non-coding RNA, 733 nt
Organism: Scylla paramamosain (green mud crab)
Lineage: Eukaryota; Metazoa; Arthropoda; Malacostraca; Decapoda; Portunidae
Exons: 4
Source: RefSeq, a predicted model, not a curated record